GUGCACCUACGGGGCGCAGCAGUGGGGAAUAUUGCACAAUGGGGGAAACCCUGAUGCAGCGACGCCGCGUGAAGGAAGAAGUAUUUCGGUAUGUAAACUUCUAUCAGCAGGGAAGAAAAUGACGGUACCUGACUAAGAAGCCCCGGCUAACUACGUGCCAGCAGCCGCGGUAAUACGUAGGGGGCAAGCGUUAUCCGGAUUUACUGGGUGUAAAGGGGGCGCAGACGGCAAUGCAAGCCAGGAGUGAAAGCCCGGGGCCCAACCCCGGGACUGCUCUUGGAACUGCAUGGCUGGAGUACAGGAGG
Molecule: ribosomal RNA, 305 nt
Filed under: uncultured bacterium
Lineage: Bacteria
Description: bacterial SSU rRNA
Rfam family: Bacterial small subunit ribosomal RNA
Source: RNAcentral